Molecule: long non-coding RNA, 373 nt
Filed under: Helianthus annuus (common sunflower)
Lineage: Eukaryota; Viridiplantae; Streptophyta; Magnoliopsida; Asterales; Asteraceae
Description: sRNA HanXRQr2_Chr16g0748261
Source: RNAcentral
UUGGUCGAUUAAAAACGCAGGGAACGAGCAGGAGCUUCACACAAACCCUAACUCUCACUAAAUCAAUCAAUUGAAGGCUCUAAUCUGGUCCAAAUCGAAAUCCGAGCACGUAUUAGUGAUCCCCACUGAAAAAGGAGUCACAAGUUUGACUCUGACAAGUAGGUAGGAGCUUGGAAAUGAACGGGUCAAAUGGAUACAAGUUCAAGUAUGAAGCUCGCAAGGAUGCAAGGAGUAGAUAUCCAAUGGAUACUCGCAUCGCUCUUAAUUAGCAAUUAUAAAGCAAGGUAUUAAACCGGGUUAGUAAGUUGAUCCGAGCCAGGUAUGUAUAAUAGAUUAACUCAUCUGUAGAACUUGAAGUUCUAUGAAAGUUAGG